Molecule: long non-coding RNA, 1342 nt
Filed under: Mus musculus (house mouse)
Lineage: Eukaryota; Metazoa; Chordata; Mammalia; Rodentia; Muridae
Description: long non-coding RNA chr10:88076357-88077699
Source: RNAcentral
CAAGUUUUCUCCUCUGAGAGAUCAAUCCUGAAGGUCGUGGGUUUAACUGGACUAGCAAUGAAUAAAUGAUGCUUACUAGAACAACUUAGGUAACAUAAACAGGAGGAUGGACAUUUUUCCAGGUUUUUGUAGAGCUACAUUUAAUGCACAUUUAGUUAUUGCACACCAGAACAUCUCUUUUUUUUUUUUUUUUUAAAGAUUUAUUUAUUAUAUGUAAGUACACUGAAGCUGUCUUCAGACACUCCAGAAGAGGGCGCCAGAUCUCGUUACGGAUGGUUGUGAGCCACCAUGUGGUUGCUGGGAUUUGAACUCCUGACCUUCGGAAGAGCAGUCGGGUGUUCUUACCCACUGAGCCAUCUCACCAGCCCCCAGAACAUCUCUUAAAACUUCUUUUUUUAGUAACUAAGACUUUAUUUUUAAAAACUUCCAAAUAAAAAAACAUUAAAAAGGGGAUUAAGCCUGGCUUUUCCUCUUGUCCACUCCACUGUUCACCAAUGAAACCACUGUCCAGAUGGUCAGCUUCCAGCACCAUUUCUUUACUUAGGUAUUGAAAUGUGCAACAGGACAUUUACAAGCCAGCCUGGAACUCUCUAUCCUCCCUCUCUCUGUCUCUGUCUCUGUGUGUGUCUCUCUCUCCCCGCCCCCUCCUUCUCUAACACAUGCACCAGCCUACCUAGCUGCAAUAUAAUUUCCAUGCUACUAAGGUCCCUUAAAAACUGAAACUACAUCAUUUGGCGUGACAGCUGACGACGGCUAGGAUUCCUUUCCUGCCAUGCCUUGCAAUGAUGGGUGAUGGUAUGAGAGGUAGGCAAGAUCAACCCGGUGGGGCUUCAAGAAAAGGGUUUUACAGGGAAUAACUGAAUCACAACAUCCAUCAUUUAAUCUUUGCCUGUUUUCCAGCACCUUCCAGGCAGGAAUCUGGAGCGGCUGGAACUACAGCAAAUACCGCAUGCCUGUAAGGAAAAGAAUCCAGUCCCUACAUUCACCCAACAAGAAUUAACUGAGUCUUGUCCUCAGGAAGAUUCAAAGCCACCACACCAGCCCAAUUACUUCUGUUCCUCUACUAUGUAUUUCUCUUCCGAUAAUUACUGAUAGGAUAACCAGUGGUUGUUUAUAUCGACAGUGUCAGCAUCCACUGGCACAUCAUUUAACAGGAGCAAGGAUUAAGAUACACACACUACAGAGACAAAGUUUGGAGCUGUGACAAAAGGAUGGACCAUCUAAAGACUACCAUAUCCGGGGAUCCAUCCCAUAAUCAGCUUCCAAACGCUGACACCAUUUCAUACACUAGCAAGAUUUUGCUGAAAGGACCCAGAUAUAGCUCUCUCUUGUGAGACUAUGC